RNA transcript from Aedes albopictus (Asian tiger mosquito), 5824 nucleotides. RefSeq lists it as uncharacterized. The record is from RefSeq and is a predicted model, not a curated record. The transcript has 6 exons. NCBI's taxonomy places the organism in Eukaryota, Metazoa, Arthropoda, Insecta, Diptera, Culicidae.
ACCUUGUGCUCACAGCUCUCUCACAAUUUUGGUAUGCGUCUACGAGCUUUACUUUAUACGGUAAACUUUUAGAUUAAACUACAAUCUUCCCUUCAAACAUCAUUUUUUGAUAGCAUGCUUCUAGAAUGAGAUAGAACCAAGUAAGUAUAGCUUUUCGCAUGUGAGUUUUCGCAACGCUGGUGUAGGCAUUAUUUUCAGCAAUUGAGCGUAUUGUAGUUUAAAUUCUGUGCAAAUAAAAUGCCCGAAAUUGAGUUGAUCUAGUACUUCAAUUACUGAAUGGGCAAUGAAAGGUAAAUAACUUGCAAAACUUCUGUUUGAGAUUUCCUUUUCUUCUUCUGUUUUUGAUUGCACCAAUCGUGUUUUAGUUUAUCUCACUCUAGUACUGCUAGAAAAUCUACUAACAUGUUACAUUCUUUUUUCAGUAUCUACAGUUAUCGAAUACGUUACGGAGGAAAUUGUCCAAAAUAGAAAACCGAUCAAGCCCACUCGCUCCAAGCGGACCAAACCCAAGCACAACGUAAAGGAGAUUAUAAACAGUACCCAAGGAGUCCCCGUGGUGUACCAGAAUACACGUUUUGGAGCGGCUCAGGUACUCUUGGAGGACAUGGCAUACUCGUUCACCUACACGAAGAACCAAAUAAGCCACUACAGAUGCAGCCGAUACAGGAGCCAACAGUGCCCGGCCGAGGUAGUUGUCAACAACAAGCUGGUCUACUAUCUCUGUGCUGCCCAUAAUCACGAUUUGGCUACCGGUCAGCAAUUGGAUGGUAUCUGUAGGUCGUAUCUAGCUAGAGAUGCGACGUAAGUUUUGAUUGGAUGUGGUUGCAAUGUACAAGAAUGGAUAAAAUUAUUUCCAGUAAAGUAUGCGUUGACCUGAUUCUUUCGGGGGUGGAGAAGUCCCCAUCCGAUAUCAUCUGGGAAUGGUUGGCUAUGUCUAGUAGAAUCGCCUAAUUAUGUCCAAAUUCAUGUCAUACUUCUUAAAUAAUUUCAUUGGCAUUUCUAUAUUAGAUUGCAAUACUUACAGAAUUCAUAACAUGAUUAUUUACAUAGCUAUGUGAAGUACUAGAUUAAGGAAGAAUACAAAAUCAAAUACAAUAUUCCUACACUAUCAAGAAAGUUUUGUUUAUGAUUUAGUUAAACAGUAUUGAAUUGACAAUUCAUCAGCGAGAACUGUCACUAUAACGCAACAAUCUUUCCAGAGGACCGUGAAAUCACCUUCAUUGUGGGAAGACUCGGCAACAUGCAGUUGAUCAUCGACGGCCACCUGUACACCCGGUCUCAAAUCAGGGAACGCAUCAUCAUUUGGCACUGCUCUCGGCAAAGAUCUGGAUGCAAAAGUCGGAUCAGCACCCUGCGAGGCGAACCGGGAACGGCCUACUCCUUCCGUGAGGACCACAAUCACGAGAGCAAAUUUGACUUCAAAAAUAGGGACAUUAAGGUUCUCAAGGUGGCCAAACUGUUGAUUGUUGGCAAAAAUCGUUAGAUUGCGUUGUUUUUAAUUUCAGGCUGAACAAUAAAAUAGAAAUUAGUUUUUCGUAACUUUAGUCUUGAUUCUGUUGAACACAAUUCAUCGUUUAAAUGAAAAUUAUUCGAAAGGCUUGGAAAAAAAGUCAAAUAAUAUUGAUGAAAAAUUAGAAAUUUCACUAACUAUUGCCAUUAUGAAUGUACAUUUCAGACAAUAAAUCUGAUGAAAGUAAUAUCUACGUCGUGUGCACCGCCGAAGGGGAGUACAAGAUUCAGGAGAAACCUGCAGCUACAGCGAGACAAACAAAAACGACCAAAUCUCCAUUCAAGGUUUCGUCGCCGAUGCAGGUUGUUUGCAUUCUAGGCGGAUUCACAUUCCCAAUCUCCGAUGGCGAUGAAGUGGAACGAUUGGAAAAAAUCAUUUCGGAACGGGUCGACAUUCGCGAGGAAUAUGUGAAAUUGUUGAAGCGCAAAUCGAAACAUAUCAAACUAUUCCAAUUUAUGCCGUCAGUUUUCUCGGAUGAAGCUCUGGAAGGAUAUAACUUCAAUGGAGCAAACGUGCUUGGUAGGCGCAAGAUCGCCAUGAAAGGUUACAAUAUUUUCAGCAGUUGUUUCAUGGAUGCUUACGAAUCGGAAGGGCUAACCAUGGAAGAACUGGCCAACCAAAUAACCACGGCCAUCAAGCAGACUCGUAACAGAAUGCGUCAGCGUACCUUCCGGGUGAAGAGAUCUAUCGAGAAGAUGUUGAAGCAAAAAUCGGAACACUAGCUGGUUGUGUUCGUUCUGGAGUAAACCGGAAAUUUCACCGAUAACCCAUUCGACCUCUUGUAGAAAAUAAUUAAUGUAGUACUAGAUAAGAUUCAUACCUGACCGAUGAUGUAUUUUGUACUUAUUUGAUUUUAGCGAAUCAACUUAAUAUUUUUCAUGUAAACAAUAUAAAAAUUGAAUGAUUUUGAUAUGAGUUAUGUUUGAUUUCGAUGCUAUUACAAAAAUAUUAUUUUUAACUUUAAUAAAUAAGUAAAAAAUAUAACUCAUCUGAAGCAGAAAAAAAACAACCAAUUAGCAAAUAAUGUCAGUAUACAGUUGCUGAACACUGUAAGACGGCAUCGCUUCAUUUAUCAAUCUAGUACCUCAUUCAUGCGAUAUCAAACCACAUCAAACUGUUUCCUUUGUUUAACAGAAAUAGUCGUGGAGGACAUAAAGCUGGAAAGCAUUCCCAUCCAAGUGGAUUCUACACUUCCAGCUAGCGGUAAUGCAGUACUAGAACAAAUAGCAGAAUCUCACAAAGAUGAGGAUAUAAAGUUGCAAAAACUAGACCCACGUGUACAUGAAGGUGCGGCCGGCAAACUACUUCAUAUACAGCCAAACAUCAACCAAAAUGAGCGACGUCCUCCGAGUAGAAAGCAUUCCAAAUCAGUUCGCGUGGCUGGAUUUGAAUUUCCUCUGACAUGCGAAGAAGAUGUCGACCGGUUGGAACUGAUGGUCAAACGGAAUCCUAUCAUCAGAAACCAAUAUAUAAAAUAUCUGGCAGCGAAUAAACUACCCAACAUGGAGAUUGCUCACAUCCUUUACCGGUUUUUCAACGACGAAGCCCUCUCUAAUUUCAACUGGACUGGCCAGGAACGGUACGACUCUAGUGCUUCGUGUAAAAAGAAAGCCAUGCAAAAGUUCGACAUUUUCAAUUCAUGUAUGCUAGAAGCGUGGUCCAGCCAUGGUGUUACGCAGGACGCUUUGGCUGGUUCGCUGAAGAAAGCUGUGCAACUAGUUGGUCGACGACGGUACAAUCUCAUCUACAAUCAGCGGAAACGACUUCAAGCGCUAGAUCCCGAACACUGACGUUUUCCAGUGGUCGUGAAAUAACACAGCUUCAUACACAGUUAUCAUUUAACUAAAAUUGUCUUCUAAUCUAGUACCUCUGCUGAGUUUUGCCUUCUACAAUUUAAGUUGUAACUAGAAAAAUACAAUAUAUUUAUUUUUGAUAUAGUACUUCACACGUUUCAAUCGUUUUCAGCUGACAAACUCUUUAAAUUAAAUGGAACGAAAAUUUCGUCCAAUUUUAUACAACUAAGUUUUUCUGUUUUCUUUGCAGCAACAACUGGGAACAAAAUGGAAACGUCUACCACUUAUCCGAAAAUUGAAAUCAUCUCUCAAAUACGAUUGCAUCCACCACAAGAAAAUCCAACGAUUUCACGACUGCACGGCUUACUGAGGGGAUCUAGCGUAGGAGGGGUACCUGAAAAAGUUCCGUUGUACAGCGGUAGCGACAUCUACAUAGCAUUGGAGGACCUGGUAAAAAUCUAUUCUUCCAACCCGGCUCUCUAUACUGCCCGACUGAUGGACAUAAUGUUCGGUAGAGAGAUAUUGAAUAAUGCAUGCAUUGAACCAGCGGGGAAUGAAGACGAUUUGGAACAACUAGAUUCACAUAAACUGCGAUCUAUGAUUGGUAAGAACGUUUCUCGGCCUGUCGGGUAGUAGCAGAUCGGUGUUCAAUCAACACAUUUUUUUUUUUGUUUACAGUGCAUGUGAUUAAUGUUUUCAGAAAACAAAACAUUGAAUUAUCAGAAUCGAUUGUAUUGGAAUACGUUCGUCAUCGGCUAUGCUUCCUAAAACAAAUGAAAAAGGAAAAAUUUUUUCAAGGCCAGUCUGCAAUCGAAUGUAGUACUAAUACUUCGUCAGUUUAAAUUUCUGGUAUACUAUUUGAAAAAUACUCCAUUUUGUAUUGUAAUAUAAAAAACCAUUUCAACUUAAAUACUAACAUUAUUCUUCUUUAUAGAUCAGCGUGAUCUGAAACAGGCAACAAUGGUUAUCAACGUUCCAUGGAAUCGAAUACAGUAUUGAAUUGCUUAUUACCGUCAUUUUUUAAAGCAUUCGUUUUCGAGGAAAUAUAUGAAAUUUUAAAAAUCAACGAAUCUUAUACUUCUUUACAUAAAUUGAGCCAUUUCUACCACUUGAUGUAUUCUAAAGUAACCGUUCUUUAAUCGUUAUGCGUUUCCAGGUCCCUCUAAACUCCGUGCGGCCAAGUUCGGUUACACCCAGAAGGGCAGGGCGAUGCUGCUGUACAACGGGUAUGCCUACAUCAAAGACCGCCAGGCUCAGAAGAGCUGUAACUGGAAGUGCUCGUUGUUCGGAAAGCUGAAAUGCCGAGCCAGGGCCGUCACGAAGGAGGUUAACGGGCGGCAGAUGAUGAAAAUCACCAAACCCCUCCAUAACCACACUCGCGAUGUGUACUCGUUUGAUAAGUGUAAAAAAUCUAAAGAAUAAGUUUCUGACAAAAAUGUCAGAUGUUCAAUCACAAUGAAACAUUAGCAAGCUUCUUAUUGUAUCUGUAAUCAACUAAGAGUUACGUUAUAAAAAUAUCAUUAUAAUAAAAUAUACUCUUCUAUCAUUUAUGUACAAAUUCUAGUACUUCAUGUCUUAAGAUAUCGUUUCGAGUAUAUUUUUGGUGGUAUUCGUGUCUUCCUUGUCCUCAUUAUCACUUAAUUUUUCUCUCAGAGAUUGAAUGAUAUCGGGUCUUUGAUUAGUGAAGAGAUAGUGGCCACAUAGUACUAGAAUAGUAAGUGCAGACAAACUGAAACCUAAUUGAUACGACACUAGUGAGUCACUAACAUUUUUAUCUGUAUCCCCAACAGGAAACGUAAUCUAUGUACUGUCGAAGCGUGGCACCAAGCAUCUGUUUCACGAUGGAAACACCUACACUCCAAAUGAGCGACCCUACCCAGGGCAGCGGUCCCGAACGUGGAAAUGCUCGUUGUACUACCGGCUCAAGUGUCGUGCCCGCAUUGUCACCAGUGAAGCCGAUGGGCUACCCAAGCUGCGGGUGGUGGUUGCAGAACAUACCCACUCGAAAGUGUUCCCCAAUUUAACGCAUAAAUUUCGCAGUUUGUUCUAGUGGGUUGAACAAAUUAAACAAUCUAGUCUACUAUUCAAGGAUCUCAAUGUUUUAUAGGUGAACAACCAUGCAUGCUUUAAGAGCAUUUUUUACAAUCGGAAAGAUGCGGAUUCUUCGUAAAUCUACUUUUUUUAUUAUAUUUUAGUUAUUCAUAAUAUAUAGGUAUUCAGUAGAGUGCGUCUGAGGGAGUACUAGAUUUGUAGUGAUGAGCUAUAAUGCCCAUGAUGUGUACACUAUUUCAUGUUAGAAAAAAAGAUUUUAUCAUCUCAUCAUACAAACAUCUAUCUCAGUACCAUAAAUCUAGUACUUCAUCGAUCCUGCUCUACAGGUGUAGUUUGCAUUUAAAACUUUGUAGGCACAUGGUAGGAUGGCACAUAUUUCCCAAAUGGAGGAGAACGUGCCUCUGGAGCCAAUAUACUAAUAGGUUCUGGCUACGCAUAUUGUAUUUUUAUUAUAUAACAAGAAGUUCUA